RNAcentral lists this unclassified non-coding RNA (170 nucleotides) under Gaeumannomycella caricis. Its description in RNAcentral is "partial internal transcribed spacer 2". The record is from RNAcentral. Lineage: Eukaryota; Fungi; Ascomycota; Sordariomycetes; Magnaporthales; Magnaporthaceae.
CACCACUCAAGCCUAGCUUGGUGUUGGGGCACCCGGCCGCCUAGUGGUGCGGGGCCCCCAAGUCCAUCGGCGGGCUCGUCGGGACCCUGAGCGCAGUAACACGCGGUAAAACGCGCCCUCGCUCGGAGGCUCCAGGCGGGUUCUUGCCGUUAAACCCCCUAAUUUUCUUA